GAUGAACGCUGGCGGUGUGCUUAACACAUGCAAGUCGUACGAGGUUUAUUCAUCGGAAAAGUUUCGGCUUUUCUCGAAUAAACUGCAGUGGCGGACGGGUGCGUAACGCGUAAGAACUUACCUUUGGAGGGGAUAACAAUGGGAAACCGCUGCUAAUACCCCAUAAUGCUGAGGAGCUAAAUGGUUUCAACCGCCAAGAGAGAGGCUUGCGUCUGAUUAGCUAGUUGGAGGAGGUAAAUGCUCCCCAAGGCGACGAUCAGUAGCUGGUCUGAGAGGAUGAUCAGCCACACUGGGACUGAGACACGGCCCAGACUCCUACGGGAGGCAG
Molecule: ribosomal RNA, 328 nt
Filed under: uncultured cyanobacterium
Lineage: Bacteria; Bacillati; Cyanobacteriota
Description: bacterial SSU rRNA
Rfam family: Bacterial small subunit ribosomal RNA
Source: RNAcentral